AGCGAACGCUGGCGGCAGGCCUAACACAUGCAAGUCGAGCGGGCGUAGCAAUACGUCAGCGGCAGACGGGAGAGUAACACGUGGGAACGUGCCCUAUGGUUCGGAAUAACUCAGGGAAACUUGAGCUAAUACCGGAUAAGCCCUUCGGGGGAAAGAUUUAUUGCCAUUGGAGCGGCCCGCGUCGGAUUAGCUAGUUGGUGAGGUAAUGGCUCACCAAGGCGACGAUCCGUAGCUGGUCUGAGAGGAUGACCAGCCUCACUGGGACUGAGACACGGCCCAGACUCCUACGGGAGGCAGCAGUGGGGAAUAUUGGACAAUGGGCGCAAGCCUGAUCCAGCCAUGCCGCGUGGAUGAUGAAGGCCCUAGGGUUGUAAAGUCCUUUUAACGGGGAAGAUAAUGACGGUACCCGUAGAAUAAGCCCCGGCUAACUUCGUGCCAGCAGCCGCCGUAA
This 451-nucleotide ribosomal RNA is filed under the name uncultured bacterium. Its description in RNAcentral is "partial 16S ribosomal RNA". It matches the Rfam family "Bacterial small subunit ribosomal RNA", at positions 29 to 523 of the family's 1533-position model. The record is from RNAcentral.